UGAGCCAAGUUUAGGGUUUUCUCAAAACCCAAGCAGUAUUGAACUGAAGAGUUUGAUCAUGGCUCAGAUUGAACGCUGGCGGCAGGCCUA
RNAcentral lists this ribosomal RNA (90 nucleotides) under Pseudomonas aeruginosa. RNAcentral's name for it is "partial 16S ribosomal RNA". Lineage: Bacteria; Pseudomonadati; Pseudomonadota; Gammaproteobacteria; Pseudomonadales; Pseudomonadaceae. The record is from RNAcentral.